This 162-nucleotide small RNA is filed under the name Arabidopsis thaliana (thale cress). RNAcentral describes it as "ATSL037390". The record is from RNAcentral. Lineage: Eukaryota; Viridiplantae; Streptophyta; Magnoliopsida; Brassicales; Brassicaceae.
AAAACCCUAAACCCUAAAAUCUUAACCCUAAACCCUUAAACCUAAACCCAAAACCAUAGUCCCCAAACUUUAUAACCAAAAUCCUACUUUAGCUUCUGGAAGCCGGUUGCGGUUCUAGUUCUUAUGCUCAACGAUACACAAAGAAUCUAGUCAUAUUUGAUU